This is a long non-coding RNA of Eucalyptus grandis, 636 nucleotides long. RefSeq lists it as uncharacterized. The record is from RefSeq and is a predicted model, not a curated record. The transcript has 2 exons. NCBI's taxonomy places the organism in Eukaryota, Viridiplantae, Streptophyta, Magnoliopsida, Myrtales, Myrtaceae.
CUUUUCUCCUUGUGUAUUAGCAAUUGAGAUUUGUUUUUCUGGUGGGUUUUGUGGAAUACCAUUUCUGUCAUUUUCACGUUCUUCUUUUAUUGUUUUGGUGAUUCUCUUUUGUUCAUAUUCGAUGCUUGAAGCUUCCAUUUAGUUCUUGCUUCAUGUUUCAUCAUUUUGAAAACUUGCUUGUGUUGUUAGCCAAGAAACGUUGGACUAAUUUUUUGUUCAUAAGAUGAGCUGCUGCCAAGCUUAUAGAUUUUGCACAAACAUGUGAGUCCUGAAUGGUUCAUAAGAAUAUCUUUUAUUUUUCCUUCAUGUAGAUCGAUAGCAACACGGAUGAGCUAAGUAGAUUUUACUGAGUUUGUUGCAGCUACUCUUCAUGUGCAUCGAAUGGAGGAACAUGACUCAGAGAAGUGGCAGCCGCGGUCACAGGCCACUUUUUUGAAAAAUUUGACAUUGAUCGUGAUGGUUAUAUAACCCCAGAAGAACUUCGACUGACAGGUUUGAAAGGCUCCCUUGGUCCUCUGCUAGAGGAAGCAAACGUCGACAAAGAUGGGAAAAUAAGUUUAUCGGAGUUCAGAAGGCUGUUAAGAACUGCAAGCAUGGGCUCUCAAAACUUGCCGAGCCCAUCUGGUUAUUGGAAUU